CCUACGGGAGACUGCAGUGGGGAAUAUUGCACAAUGGGGGAAACCCUGAUGCAGCAACGCCGCGUGGGUGAAGGAGCGUUUCUGCGCGUAAAGCCCUGUCAGCGGGGAAGAAGCAAGACGGUCCCCGACCAAGAAGCCCCGGCUAACUACGUGCAAGCUGCCGCGGUAAUACGUAGGGGGCCGCCGUUAUCCGGAAUUACUGGGUGUAAAGGGAGCGUAGACGGGGAUGUAAGCCGGGAGUGGAAGCCCCGGGGCCAACCUCGGAACGGCUUUUGGAACUGUUUUGCUGGAGUGUGGGAGGGGGAAGCGGAAUUCGUGGUGUAGCGGUGAAAUGCGUAGAUAUCAGGAGGAACACCGGUGGCGAAGGCGGCUUACUGGAGCAUAACUGACGUUGAGGCUCGAAAGCGUGGGGAGCGAACAGGAUUAGAUACCCUUGUAGUC
RNAcentral lists this ribosomal RNA (441 nucleotides) under uncultured bacterium. RNAcentral describes it as "partial 16S ribosomal RNA". It matches the Rfam family "Bacterial small subunit ribosomal RNA", at positions 338 to 795 of the family's 1533-position model. The record is from RNAcentral.